Long non-coding RNA from Microplitis mediator, 825 nucleotides. RefSeq lists it as uncharacterized. The record is from RefSeq and is a predicted model, not a curated record. The transcript has 3 exons. NCBI's taxonomy places the organism in Eukaryota, Metazoa, Arthropoda, Insecta, Hymenoptera, Braconidae.
CAAAUUUACCGUCUAAAAAAAAAUUCAAAAAUUAUUAGACGUCUGCUAACUUCAGUAUCAUAUUAUUUUAUUAAUAAAUCGCAUUACAUUCGUAUGAAAUUUUCAACUUCCGGUGACCGAUAUAUUUAUUACUCUAAAUCUGAAGCAUAAAAAAAUUUAUAUUAAAAUAAGGAAACGUAUAAUUCAAAUUGAACGCCCUUUGGUAUUUUCUACACGAAAAAAUUAUUCUCGUUUUAAAUCCUACGGUGUCAUGGUAACGCCAGACCACGUGGUCACCUAGCGGGAAUUCAAAUAAACGUUUAAAAAAUCACUAUGGCCAUAGCAAAAUUUCCAUUAGUUAUCACCGUAAUUUGUGAUAAAAUAAAUAACCCACCAGGAUAUGCAAGAUAACUCGUUGACGCGACCAACUUUUAGCUGCUGGAGCUGACCCUUAAAGUUAUGAAAAAUUAAUAAAAUGUCUCUAGUGCUUGUGUCGGCAUUCGCUAGCCAAAUGUUUGAAGUACGCGUGCAUUCAGUGCGCAGCUGCGAAAAAUUGAAUUAUAUUUAGCGAUCAACGAUCGAUUAAACGGCAAACGUCAGACUCGUAUAGUUCAUAACUCUUUUGUAUUUUUUAGUUGUGACCUUAUUUUGUUAGCCGAGUUUAUGUAAGUCUGAAAAUUUUAAUCUCGCUCUGAAUGAACGUCUCCUGUGGAAUGAAACUCGUGGGUUUUUAUUUAAUAUGAAAAUUCUCAGCACGUUGAUGAGGAUAUUUAUAAACCCGAUCAUCAAAGUGGAGGGAGAGGAUAAAACAAAGGGAAUUUAUAAAGAGUAACAGUGGUGAUAAUA